This 319-nucleotide ribosomal RNA is filed under the name Toxicocalamus holopelturus (Mt Rossel forest snake). Its description in RNAcentral is "partial 16S ribosomal RNA". It matches the Rfam family "Bacterial large subunit ribosomal RNA", at positions 1844 to 2389 of the family's 2925-position model. Lineage: Eukaryota; Metazoa; Chordata; Lepidosauria; Squamata; Elapidae. The record is from RNAcentral.
UAUUAAAGGCAACGCCUGCCCAGUGAAUAAUUAAACGGCCGCGGUAUCCUAACCGUGCAAAGGUAGCGUAAUCACUUGUCUAUUAAUUGUAGACCUGUAUGAAAGGCAUAAUGAGGGUCUAACUGUCUCUUCUAGUAAAUCAAUUAAACUGAUCUCCUAGUCCAAAAGCUAAGAUAUCAACAUAAGACCAGAAGACCCUGUGAAGCUUUAACUAAACUAUUAAAUCUCCUAAUACCUCCUUUCGGUUGGGGCGACCUUGGAAAAAAAAAGAACUUCCAAAUAUACAAUAUAUAAUAUUCUUCAACUUAGGCCGACAGGC